This 465-nucleotide ribosomal RNA is filed under the name uncultured bacterium. RNAcentral describes it as "partial 16S ribosomal RNA". It matches the Rfam family "Bacterial small subunit ribosomal RNA", at positions 38 to 506 of the family's 1533-position model. The record is from RNAcentral.
AGGAAAGGGGGGGGGGUGCUUAACACAUGCAAGUCGAACGGAAAGGCCUCUUUCGGGGGGUACUCGAGUGGCGAACGGGUGAGUAACACGUGAGUAACCUGCCCUUGACUUUGGGAUAACUUCAGGAAACUGGGGCUAAUACCGGAUAGGAGCUCCUGCUGCAUGGUGGGGGUUGGAAAGUUUCGGCGGUUGGGGAUGGACUCGCGGCUUAUCAGCUUGUUGGUGGGGUAGUGGCUUACCAAGGCUUUGACGGGUAGCCGGCCUGAGAGGGUGACCGGCCACAUUGGGACUGAGAUACGGCCCAGACUCCUACGGGAGGCAGCAGUGGGGAAUAUUGCACAAUGGGUGGAAGCCUGAUGCAGCAACGCCGUGUGCGGGAUGACGGCCUCCGGGUUGUAAACCGCUUUCGCUCAUGACGAAGCUUUGUGUGACGGUAGUGGGUAAAGAAGCACCGGCUAACUACGU